This 672-nucleotide ribosomal RNA is filed under the name uncultured bacterium. RNAcentral's name for it is "bacterial SSU rRNA". It matches the Rfam family "Bacterial small subunit ribosomal RNA", at positions 35 to 718 of the family's 1533-position model. The record is from RNAcentral.
GCUGGCGGCGUGCCUCAGACAUGCAAGUCGAACGAUUAAACUUUCCUUCGGGAAAGAUAUAAAGUGGCGCACGGGUGAGUAACACGUAAGUAAUCUACCUUCGAGUGGGGAAUAACGUCCGGAAACGGACGCUAAUACCGCAUAACGCAGCGGCACCUAAUGGUGACAGUUGUUAAAGGAGCAAUUCGCUUGAAGAGGAGCUUGCGGCAGAUUAGCUAGUUGGUAAGGUAAUGGCUUACCAAGGCUUCGAUCUGUAUCCGGUCUAAGAGGACGGUCGGACACACUGACACUGAAUAACGGGUCAGACUCCUACGGGAGGCAGCAGUCGGGAAUUUUGGGCAAUGGGCGAAAGCCUGACCCAGCAACGCCGCGUGAAGGAUGAAGUAUUUCGGUAUGUGAACUUCGAAAGAAUGGGAAGAACUCAAUGACGGUACCAUUUAUAAGCUCCGGCUAACUACGUGCCAGCAGCCGCGGUAAUACGUAGGGAGCAAGCGUUGUUCGGAUUUACUGGGCGUAAAGGGCGCGUAGGCGGCAAAUUAAGUCAGCUGUGAAAUCUCCGAGCUUAACUCGGAACUGUCAGCUGAUACUGAUCUGCUAGAGUGCGGAAGGGGCAAUCGGAAUUCUUGGUGUAGCGGUGAAAUGCGUAGAUAUCAAGAGGAACACCUGAGGUGA